CCUACGGGGGGCUGCAGUGAGGAAUAUUGGUCAAUGGGCGCAAGCCUGAACCAGCCAUCCCGCGUGCAGGAUGACGGCCCUAUGGGUUGUAAACUGCUUUUAUACACCAAGAAAAAUCUCCACGUGUGGGGACCCGACGGUAGUGUAUGAAUAAGCAUCGGCUAACUCCGUGCCAGCAGCCGCGGUAAUACGGAGGAUGCGAGCGUUAUCCGGAUUCAUUGGGUUUAAAGGGUGCGUAGGCGGCUUUUUAAGUCAGUGGUGAAAUCCUGUCGCUUAACGAUAGAAUUGCCAUUGAUACUGAUAAGCUUGAGUACAGUUGAGGUAAGCGGAAUGUGUAGUGUAGCGGUGAAAUGCUUAGAUAUUACACAGAACACCGAUUGCGAAGGCAGCUUACUAAACUGUUACUGACGCUGAUGCACGAAAGCGUGGGGAGCGAACAGGAUUAGAUACCCUGGUAGUC
Molecule: ribosomal RNA, 460 nt
Filed under: uncultured Bacteroidota bacterium
Lineage: Bacteria; Pseudomonadati; Bacteroidota
Description: bacterial SSU rRNA
Rfam family: Bacterial small subunit ribosomal RNA
Source: RNAcentral